Non-coding RNA from Colletotrichum fioriniae, 95 nucleotides. The record is from the annotation of a RefSeq genome assembly. Lineage: Eukaryota; Fungi; Ascomycota; Sordariomycetes; Glomerellales; Glomerellaceae.
GGCAAGAUGGCCGAGCGGUCUAAGGCGCCAGCUUCGGGUUAAAUCUGAUCCUGCCCGUGUGGGAACACGCGCGGGUUUGAAUCUCGUUCUUGUCA